UCUACGGAGUGCGAUACCAAACGUUAGUAGCGAGACGGGAAUCCGUUAGCGAGAACGCGCACAUUGAACUAGAAA
This 75-nucleotide non-coding RNA is filed under the name unclassified sequences. The record is from Rfam.